Molecule: long non-coding RNA, 770 nt
Organism: Drosophila obscura
Lineage: Eukaryota; Metazoa; Arthropoda; Insecta; Diptera; Drosophilidae
Exons: 3
Source: RefSeq, a predicted model, not a curated record
CAAGGUCUUGCACUCACACACACAGCACAAAAGUGUGUAAAAGUGUCAAAGGCUGGGAAGAUUUUAAGAAGUUUUCUUUUAAUUUGCAAAUUUUUUUUUCGUUUUUUUGACCCAAGGUUUUUUCAAAAGGACUGAAAAUCAAAAUGGCAAUUUGCUCAAUGUGCCUAGAAUUUAGAGUUAUUAAUGUGAAGCUGCCGUGCGGCCACAUGUACUGUGUUUUUUGCCACAAUUGUAUGGUAGAUAUCGGGCUUAUAACGAGCAAUGGCUGUCCUCUAUGCAAACAGCCUUCUACUGAUGCCGAUGGUGCCGAUAAUGGCGGUGCUCCUGGUGCUCCUGACAAAGUACAAGUAAAAUAAAACAAGUCUGCCGCAACACCGAACAUCGCCCAAUAUAUAAUAUUGUUGUUGUUUUCCAUACAAUGUGCAAAUAUUAGUGAUAUAAUAUACAGGUGCUAAAGAUUUGGUUCUGUUUUCGGGUGAAAAGUGUCUACAUCCAACUAGCUGCAAGAAUAGUUUCCCAAAAUGCAAAGCAACCCUCGUAAAACCCAACCGAACGGAAUAAGCUGCUGUAGCGUUUGCUUACAAACUGCCUAAAAAUGGAAUGGAUGAUGGAUGGAUUAUAUUAUUGCUGCUAUAGCAACGACGCAUCUGCAAAGGGGUGCAAUCAAAUCUCAGGGCAGCAGCACAGCUCUAGGGUGCAAUCAAAUCUCAGGGCAAGCGCAACGUGAGGGUUCAAUCAAAUCUCAUGGCAUCCCAAAUGGGGUGCAUCUG